GACGAACGCUGGCGGCGUGCUUAACACAUGCAAGUCGAACGGAAAGGCCCUGCUUUUGUGGGGUGCUCGAGUGGCGAACGGGUGAGUAACACGUGAGUAACCUGCCCUUGACUUUGGGAUAACUUCAGGAAACUGGGGCUAAUACCGGAUAGGAGCUCCUGCUGCAUGGUGGGGGUUGGAAAGUUUCGGCGGUUGGGGAUGGACUCGCGGCUUAUCAGCUUGUUGGUGGGGUAGUGGCUUACCAAGGCUUUGACGGGUAGCCGGCCUGAGAGGGUGACCGGCCACAUUGGGACUGAGAUACGGCCCAGACUCCUACGGGAGGCAGCAGUGGGGAAUAUUGCACAAUGGGCGGAAGCCUGGUGCAGCAACGCCGCGUGCGGGAUGACGGCCUUCGGGUUGUAAACCGCUUUCGCCAGUGACGAAGCGUGAGUGACGGUAAUGGGUAAAGAAGCACCGGCUAACUACGUG
RNAcentral lists this ribosomal RNA (468 nucleotides) under uncultured bacterium. Its description in RNAcentral is "partial 16S ribosomal RNA". It matches the Rfam family "Bacterial small subunit ribosomal RNA", at positions 28 to 507 of the family's 1533-position model. The record is from RNAcentral.